UGGCGGCGUGCCUAAUACAUGCAAGUCGAACGGUCUUUCUAUGGAAGCUUGCUUCCACUGAGAAGAUAGUGGCGAACGGGUGAGUAACACGUGGGUAACCUGCCCAUAAGAGGGGGGAUAACAUCCGGAAACGGGUGCUAAUACCGCAUAGUUUUCUUGAUCGCAUGAUCGGGAAAGGAAAGACGGCCUUUGUGCUGUCGCUUAUGGAUGGACCCGCGGCGUAUUAGUUAGUUGGUGAGGUAACGGCUCACCAAGACGAUGAUACGUAGCCGACCUGAGAGGGUGAUCGGCCACAUUGGGACUGAGACACGGCCCAAACUCCUACGGGAGGCAGCAGUAGGGAAUCUUCCGCAAUGGACGAAAGUCUGACGGAGCAACGCCGCGUGAGUGAAGAAAGGUUUUCGGAUCGUAAAACUCUGUUGUCAGAGAAGAACAAGUUGGAGAGUAACUGCUCCAGCCUUGACGGUAUCUGACCAGAAAGCCACGGCUAACUACGUGCCAGCAGCCGC
RNAcentral lists this ribosomal RNA (509 nucleotides) under uncultured bacterium. Its description in RNAcentral is "bacterial SSU rRNA". It matches the Rfam family "Bacterial small subunit ribosomal RNA", at positions 37 to 518 of the family's 1533-position model. The record is from RNAcentral.